CCAUUGGUUGACACUACGUGUGAACUAUUUGGAAUGAGAACAAUUUAAACACCUUAACGAGGAACAAAUGGAGGGCAAGUCUGGUGCCAGCAGCCGCGGUAAUUCCAGCUCCAUCAGUGUAUAUUAGCGUUGUUGCGGUUAAAAAGCUCGUAGUUGGAUUUCGGAGUGCGAAGGUCAAGACCCAUCAAAUUGGUGUGGUCCGACAGUCGCCUCCUAGCUUAGGGUAACAGCCUUUCUUCCUUUACGGGUUGAGAUGUGCCGUUCCCUAUCUUUUACUUUGAUAAAAUCAGAGUGUUCAAAGCAGGCGUCACUUGCCUUGAAUGUUGCCGCAAGGGAUAGUAGAAUAUGACUUCGGUCUUAUUUUGUUGGUUUCUAGGGCUGAAGUAAUGACUAAUAGGGACAGUUGGGGGCGCUCGUAUUGAGUUGUCAGAGGUGAAAUUCUAGGAUUUACUCAAGACGAACUACUGCGAAAGCAUUCGCCAAGGAUGUUUUCAUUAAUCAAGAACGAAAGUUGGGGGAUCGAAGAUGAUCAGAUACCGUCGUAGUCUCAACCAUAAACUAUGUGGACCAACGAUCCGAGGAAGUUACAUGGAUGACUCUCCGGGCAGUUUGUGAGAAAUCAUAAGUAUUUGCAUUCCGGGGGGAGUAUGGUCGCAAGGCUGAAACUUAAAGGAAUUGACGGAAGGGCACCACCAGGAGUGGAACCUGCGGCUUAAUUUGACCCAACACGGGGAAACUUACCAGGUCCGGACACAGUUAGGAUUGACAGAUGAGAGCUCUUUCUUGAUUCUGUGGGUGGUGGUGCAUGGCCGUUUUUAGUUGGUGGAGUGAUUUGUCUGGUUAAUUCCGUUAACGAACGAGACCUUAACCUAUUAAUUAGUUAUGCGAACUUGGGCUUCGGUCCUUUCGGUUCGUGGACAACUUCUUAGAGGGACUCUCGGCAUCUCUAGCCGAUGGAAGUUUGAGGCUAAAACAGGUCUGUGAUGCCCUUAGGCGUCCUGGGCCGCACGCGCGUUACACUGACGAAUGCAACGAGUUCUUCCUUCUCCGAUGGGAGUGGGUAAGCUUUUAAAAGUUCGUCGUGAUGGGGAUUGAACCUUGCAAUUAUUGUUCAUGAACGAGGAAUUCCUAGUAAGCGUAGUUCAUCAAACUGCGUUGAUUACGUCCCUGCCCUUUGUACACACCGCCCGUCGCUAGUACCGAUUGAAUGAUCCGGUGAGGAUUCAGGACGGCAGAGCUUUAGUUUGCCUGAAAGGGUAAGCGGGUUCAGCCGGAGUUUGUUCAAACCGUGUCAUUUAGA
Molecule: ribosomal RNA, 1300 nt
Filed under: metagenome
Description: SSU rRNA
Rfam family: Eukaryotic small subunit ribosomal RNA
Source: RNAcentral